Molecule: long non-coding RNA, 943 nt
Filed under: Carica papaya (papaya)
Lineage: Eukaryota; Viridiplantae; Streptophyta; Magnoliopsida; Brassicales; Caricaceae
Description: long non-coding RNA (CPAP_LNC007945)
Source: RNAcentral
CCUCUAAUUGAUUACACUCAAUUUAAGAAAUGCCAAGUUAAAAAAAAACGAGCAUAUUAGGUACGUUAUCAAUGGGCAGCAUGCGGUAGGCAGUGGUAGGCAGUAGCAUGGGGCCUAAUGGGCCACAUCCAGUCUAAGUCUCCUGCAUACGGUAGUAGGCGGCGGGAUGUGCGCUCGUGGAGCUGUGCGCCUAAUGUUAGAUUGCAGGAUUCGUACAUAGACGACGUGCGGUACGACGCGUAGGUGGAUAAGACGUUCACCUCGCAUGCAAGCCCGGCCAGCCUUACACACAUACGCGCAGGGGCACAACGCGCGGGGCAUUCCGCACAGUCAUGCGGACAUGCCUGCAUGAGCUGGGGAUUUUUCCUUCGUGACAUUUCCAUUUUUUUUCUUUUUUUUCUCCUUUAAUUUGAAACCUUUAAAUUUUAAAAAAAUAAAAUAGAAUAAAAUAAAAUAAAAUAACGAUAUGAAAAUUAAAACAAAUUUUGAUUAUUUAGAGACAAACAGUAAAAAUUCAAAGUAAAAUAAAAUAAAAAAUAUUACAUUACAAAAAUUUCGAAUAAAAUAGAGUCUUAAUACCACGUGAAGCAAAAAAGUGUGGGGGCGUCACACAUACAUAUACUUAUAUAUAUAUAUAUAGACAGAGAGAGGGAAAGAUGAAGAUCACCUAUCCUCCUCAUCCACAUUCUAACAUCCAAAAGAUAAUAUAACUAGUAAAAAAAGUUGUUACUAAUUAUCAAGAUGAUGUUAUUACUACAGUUUAGCACAGAGAAACAUCAUCUUUGCACAGUUAUCAGUCUCAUCAAUAUCAAUCUCUGUGUCAAUUAGGUUAACCCCCAAACAAUAGGUAAGAUUUCACAUAUUCUCGUUCUUCUCAGUUUUUACAAGAAAUAGAUGUUGUGUGCCUCUUGUUGAUUGUGCUCAGUAAGAAAAUUACCAUACU